Molecule: ribosomal RNA, 445 nt
Filed under: uncultured Deinococci bacterium
Lineage: Bacteria; Thermotogati; Deinococcota; Deinococci
Description: bacterial SSU rRNA
Rfam family: Bacterial small subunit ribosomal RNA
Source: RNAcentral
GAUGAACGCUGGCAGUGUGCCUUAGACAUGCAAGUCGAACGAACGAUGCUGGGCUUGCCUAGCAAAGUUAGUGGCAAACGGGUGAGUAACACGUAGGUCAUCUACCUUUAGACGGGGUAUAACAGUUGGAAACGGCUGCUAAUCCCCCAUAGACUCUGCGGAGUAAAGAUUAUAUCGUCUAAAGAUGAGCCUGCGGCGCAUCAGCUAGUUGGUGGGGUAAAGGCCUACCAAGGCAACGACGCGUAGCCGACCUGAGAGGGUGACCGGCCACAGGGGCACUGAGACACGGGUCCCACUCCUACGGGAGGCAGCAGUUAGGAAUCUUCCGCAAUGGGCGCAAGCCUGACGGAGCGACACUGCGUGAGGGAAGACGGCCUUAGGGUUGUAAACCUCUGAACCAAGGACGAAAAUGACGGUACUUGGGUAAUAGCACCGGCUAACUUCG